Long non-coding RNA from Leptinotarsa decemlineata (Colorado potato beetle), 2144 nucleotides. The record is from RefSeq and is a predicted model, not a curated record. NCBI's taxonomy places the organism in Eukaryota, Metazoa, Arthropoda, Insecta, Coleoptera, Chrysomelidae.
UAGGCGUUGACAGGGGUGAGUACUUUUUUAUGCCAUUUCAAUUUCCUCUUUCUAUAAUAGGAACGAUUUCGAAAAUUUUCUGUUUGUGAUUUGUUGUGUUUUUCACUUGUCACAGUGUAUAAACACUAACAUAGCCGUAUUCAGGCACCUAUUGUUGAUUAUUUUAACUAGGUUUUAACUGGGUUAGCGAAACGUUCAUCGGGAAAGUAUUUUAUUAUAUAAAACUACUCUGUAUGUGAUAGAUUUUAUUUACCAGGUUACUUUCGAGUAUAGAUUAUGCAAGUUACGAAUAUUGAGUAGCUUAUUAAAAGGAAAUUUUUGAGGUAGUACCUAUAUGUGUUAUUUAUUCGUCAAUCGUAAGUAAUAAAAGUAACUUAUUUUCAGUGAAUCCAUACAAAUGCGAAGUUUGUCAGAGAGAUUACAAACAUAGAAGCAGUCUACUUCACCAUAAGAGGUACGAAUGUCAAAAUCCCCCACGGUUUGGUUGUUCUGUCGAUGGAUGCCUAUAUAGAAGUAAAGUCAAGAGCAACGUAAGGAAACACAUGUUUAUCAAACAUAAGUACCUCAGUAUAUCUUGCGAUAAAAUGAUAGUAUUAGAUUUGGAACAGUUGGAAAUUUGAACAGUUGUGACGUUAUUGAUUCAAUCAAAACUGACUGAGGUCUGUGGAAAAUAGACUUGAUAUCAUUUGUAAUUGUAUAUACUUGUUAGAUCCAGAAUUUGAAAUAAAUGAAUUAGCACAAAACGGAAUAAAAUAACACAGUUGAAAUUACUUUUUAGAAAUUCAUGUGCCAAUGAAAAUACAGAAACGGAAUAGAAGAGGAAGGUUAAUAAAAAAAAGGUGCAGAGUUUGCCAUGAAAACAAAAUAAGGAAAGAAUCAUUAUAUUACUGUGGCCAGUGUUUUGAACAUCCCGGACUUUGUGUGGAUAUAUGUUUCAACUCUUACCACAAAUCCAAAAGUUAUAUUCAAUAAUAUCUAAUUUCUGUUAUGGAGAUGUCUAAAUUAUAACUAUUAUAUUUUUCAUCCACAGAUUUUAUUUAUGUCCUAUGGAAUGUGGAAAGAAAUACAAACAUAGAUCUUCUCUGUACAACCAUACAAGAUUCGAAUGUGGCAAAGACAAAGCAUUCUCCUGUCCACUGAAUGACUGCACUUAUAAAACUAAAAGGAAGGGGAGCCUCAAAUCACACGUAUUUAUCGUUCAUGGUUUCGAAAAUUCUCAGACAUUCAACUGAAAUUGAACUGAGAGGACUUGUAAAUAUGUUGAAAGAAUUACAUUCGAUAGGGAAACUGCAAUAUUCCAGAGUAUGAAAUGAUUACUUAUAUUGAAGUUGUAAUACAAUACUUAUUGGUAUUUUUUAACGUAAUAUAUUUUUCAAUUUCGUGAGAUAUUCUUAUGGGCGAAUUGGUCAGAAUCGACAGAAUACAAAGAGAACACGAGGCGAUAUUUGAACUCUCUAAACUCUUGAAAUCAGUCUCAUUUGAUCAUAAGUAUAACGAAUAGGGAUAAUUCCCUACCAAUCCACAAGUUCCAAGAUUAUACGGUCUCCCGAAGAUACACAAAGAUGGUACUCCAAUCAGACCAGUGGUAAGCUUUUACAAUACUCAUGUCUCCAUUCUGUCAACAUUUGUCUUACAAGUGAUAAAAAAUGUAACCAACUACAAACCUGCCAAUUCAAAGUCCUUCCAUUUCACUGCAACACCUGUCAACGUCGAUACAAAUACAAGGGUAAUCUAGUCAGACAUCACAAAUACGAAUGUAACCAAGAGAAACAAUUUACUUGUAGCCUGAUUGGGUGCUCCUAUUCGAGCAAAUUAAAAUCAAAUUUGGAUCGUCAUUUCAUAAUCAAACACGUUAGUGAUCCUACACGUCAAUUUGGGUGCACCGAGGAUGGAUGCUCGUAUGCAAGUAAAAUCAAAUCGAAUGUGGUUCGUCAUAUCAGAACACAUCAUGGAAAAAAUAGUUCUGAACUGUUGGAUAAUUAUGUUUACUCCAAAUCUGAUUUGGAUCCAAGUGCAAUCGGCAGGUAGACAUUAAUUUUACUUUAGUGGAAAGUUUGAGUUUCGUGACCACAUUGUAAAUAUUUUAUUCCUCCCUGUAUAUGGGAUGAAUAUUUUUGAGCGAAAUAAAUAGUUCUUUAUUUUUU